Long non-coding RNA from Bombus terrestris (buff-tailed bumblebee), 1936 nucleotides. RefSeq lists it as uncharacterized. Lineage: Eukaryota; Metazoa; Arthropoda; Insecta; Hymenoptera; Apidae. The record is from RefSeq and is a predicted model, not a curated record. The transcript is spliced from 4 exons.
UAUGGUCUUCACCUACAACGGAAACAAAAUGAAUAGAAAUAAGCUGGAAUAAAUUAGGAAAGGACCUUUCAAAAUUCUAAGAAGGAUUUCAAACUCCAUAUACGAAGUGGAUAACGAUAAUCGGAGAUCUGAAGGGAAUCUCUUCCACUCGAACUACAGAAUCGAUCCCUGAAUUAUCCCCAGAUUACGAUCUUACAAAUCGAUUUUCACUACGCCAUGCCGUUAGAUGUGAAGCUACGGAUUGUCAUGAACGUGAACGCAAGGGGGGAGAAAGUGGAAUGCAUAGAAUCCAUAAGAAAACCAGAAGAUGAAGGAUGUUAUGUCUUUCCUCCAGAAUAUCAAGCAAGAGAUCAUCAUCCGCCGUUCUUCAGUUUAUCGAUAGUGAAGAAAGCCGCAAACAGCUUAACAAAGAAGAAUCGGAGAUCAUCCCCACAAGGAAAAUAAAGACCGAAUCCGAAAAGCCCAAUCUUCAAAUAGAAGCAUUAUUAGAGAUCUUCCGGAAACAAAACAUGCAUGAGAGGUAAGGCACGGACUUUGACAUAAAACAAUUUGAUGGAACGCAAAGAGCCACAGAUUGGAUAUUAGAGUAAGAAACGGAAUGCGAAAGAUACGAAAUUCAAAACGACGAAAAAAGGAUCAAGAAUUUGAAGAAAUAUUUGGGAAAAACAGCAUCAGAAUGGUACCAGACAAAUCUGUUGAAGGAUGAAGAAUACAAGUGGGAAAAUUGGAAGGCGGUUCAUUCACCAAAUAUGCCAUAAAACAGGACCGAUUAAUAUUGGAAGUAAGGAGGAAGACCUCCGAUGAGACAAGGAUAAAUGUAAUUGUUAGUCGAUUACCCAUACACAUUCAAGAUAAAGUCUAUAAAGAAGCAGUACAAUCAACAGGUGACCUAAUCGACUCUUGGGGCAAUAGGAAGACCACAGGAAAGGAAGAAAAAGUCAAGAGAGUAAUGCAAGAUUGAACAGAAAGCCAGAGCCACCACGCAAGAAUCUACCGUGUAUGAUUUGUGAAGCACUGAAUUUGCCAGGCCAAUUUUACCCAAUACAAGUAUGCAGAAACAGGAACAGAAAUGCACAGAGGAACCAAAACCAGGUAAAUUCAUUAGAAGCAUUCAUUACAGAAAGUAAUGAAGCAAAAAACCAGAUGAGAAUGGAAAAAACUAAAAUGCCCGGAAAAAUACGAAUCACUAAUAAAGCUCCUUGUUAGAAUCAACGACCAGAAAGAGAUUGAGGGCUCCAAAAAAUCAUUGACCAAAUAAAGGCAGAUAUAAUAAAAGACAAGAGUAUGUUUAAAACUAUCAGUGGGAAGGACUUCACGAAUAGCGGGGCAAAACUUAGAAUGAAAAUUAAUAAAGUAGAGAAAGAAACAAAUGUUUAUAUAGCGCAUAAUGAUAACUUCACAUAUGAUCUCAUCUUAGGGCUGGACGCCAUAAGAGAGUUCAAGUUGAAACAAGAUGAGAAUUUGAGAGUUAGUCAAAAAGUAGAUGAUAAAGUAGAAAUAAUAUUUAAUAGAAAUAAUUUAAUAGAAAUAAUAUUUAAUAGAGAAUUUGAGAGUUAGUCAAAAAGUAGAUGAUAAAGUAGAAAUAAUAUUUAAUAGAAAUAAUUUAAUAGAAAUAAUAUUUAAUAGAGAAUUUGAGAGUUAGUCAAAAAGUAGAUGUAAAAGUAGAAAUAAUAUUUAAUAGAAAUAAUUUAAUAGAAAUAAUAUUUAAUAGAGAAUUUGAGAGUUAGUCAAAAAGUAGAUGACAAAGUAGAAAUAAUAUUUAAUAGAAAAGAAGAAAGAAGAAAUAAUCAGAGAAGAAAGAUAAACGUUACCGAAUACAAGAAGAUGGACAACCUAGGUCACCUAAAUCACCUAUAAAAAAAAAGAGAUAAGCCAGCUUAUAGAGAAAUAUAAAGACAUAUUUGCCAAACACAAAUUCGAUGUGAGAAAUAGGAAA